CCGGCGCACGGGUGAGUAACGCGUAUGCAACCUACCUACUACUUUGGGAUAGCUCGUUGAAAGACGAAUUAAUACCUUAUAAAACAGGGGCUCCGCAUGGAGAUAUUUGUUAAAGAUUUAUUGGUAGUAGAUGGGCAUGCGUUCCAUUAGUUAGUUGGUGAGGUAACGGCUCACCAAGACGACGAUGGAUAGGGGAACUGAGAGGUUUAUCCCCCACACUGGAACUGAGACACGGUCCAGACUCCUACGGGAGGCAGCAGUGAGGAAUAUUGGUCAAUGGAGGCAACUCUGAACCAGCCAAGUCGCGUGAAGGAUGACUGCCCUACGGGUUGUAAACUUCUUUUUUAAGGGAAUAAAGUGAGCCACGUGUGGCUUUUUGCAUGUACCUUACGAAUAAGGAUCGGCUAACUCCGUGCCAGCAGCCGCGGUAAUACGGAGGAUCCGAGCGUUAUCCGGAUUUAUUGGGUUUAAAGGGUGCGCAGGCGGAAUAUUAAGUCGGCGGUGAAAGUUUGCA
This 514-nucleotide ribosomal RNA is filed under the name uncultured bacterium. RNAcentral's name for it is "bacterial SSU rRNA". It matches the Rfam family "Bacterial small subunit ribosomal RNA", at positions 95 to 606 of the family's 1533-position model. The record is from RNAcentral.